Vicia faba (fava bean) is the source of this 225-nucleotide non-coding RNA. Lineage: Eukaryota; Viridiplantae; Streptophyta; Magnoliopsida; Fabales; Fabaceae. The record is from the annotation of a GenBank genome assembly.
AUGAAAUCUCCUCCAAUCCCAUCCGAACUACCACCACCGGUCACUUCCGAUCAACGCUGUUGCAGACCCCGUCGUGGAUUCCGUCAAUCGCCCGAGAACCGCCACGAUCUGCAAUCACGACGCCGAUAUCUACCUCUCUGGCGCCAUCAUCAUGUUAGUUCUUUUUUCGAUUUCAUGGCUUUUUUCUUCUUUUUUUUUUGUUUGCAUAUGUUGUCUGUGUUUUGA